CUCAAAGGAAUUUGACGGGGGCCCGCACAAGGGCGGUGGAGCAUGUGGUUUAAUUCGAAGCCUACGCGAAGAACCUUACCAGGUCUUGAACAUACUAUGCAAAAUCUAAGAGAUUAGACGUUCCCUUCGGGGACAUGGAUUACAGGUGGUGCAUGGUUGUCGUCAGCUCGUGUCGUGAGAUGUUGGGGUUAAGUCCCGCCAACGAGCGCAACCCU
This 215-nucleotide ribosomal RNA is filed under the name Lactiplantibacillus plantarum subsp. plantarum. RNAcentral describes it as "partial 16S ribosomal RNA". It matches the Rfam family "Bacterial small subunit ribosomal RNA", at positions 900 to 1105 of the family's 1533-position model. The record is from RNAcentral. Lineage: Bacteria; Bacillati; Bacillota; Bacilli; Lactobacillales; Lactobacillaceae.